CCUGGGAAAGGUCUGCCCUUGGGAAUCUAAUGUCCGGUGUAAGCACAGAAGUCACAGUUGAGCUGCAAGAGUGCUGGGUCGCUCAGAUGGGGCUUGUGGAGUGGAAGGAGCAGCGAUCCAAAAUCAAAGCUUGAGGGAAGCCAACUGCCAGGUGGUUAAGAGGCUUACAAAGCCUGAUGAUGAGGUCAGUGUGGCGAGGAAGUGUGGCCCCCUGCCAACAGUCAUGUGAGUGAGCCUUCCUGGAAGCAGAUCCUCCAGCUCCAUUAAGCCUUUCGAGGGCUGUAGCUCCAGACAACUGACAGCCCAUGAGAAGCCCAGAACAAGAACCAUCUAGCUUUGCCAAUUCUGAAUUCCACCACCAAAACUGAGAAACGGUAAUGCUGAUCUGAUUGGCCAGAUUUCAAGACAUUGAUUGGAUUAUGUGUACUAAGGAAUGGGGUCAUGAAGAACCAGUCAAUCAGUGCUUGCUGAGCAUCUGCUAUGAACCAUGUGAUGUUUUUAGGUGCUGGAUAUGCAGCAAUGAAUAAGAGCAUUCCCCUGACAUUCUAACAAGAGGAGGCGGACUAGGAACACACAUGCUUUGUCAAUAAAUGCUGUAAAGAGUGUGAAGUAGGCUCAUAUGUGGAGAGGGCCAGGAAUGAUGCCUUGACUAGGAUGGCUGAGGAAGAGCUUUCAGAGGAAGUGACAUCUGAAUUAUGACCUGAAGGUCAGGAAAAAGUGACUUUUGGAGAAGCUCAUGAUGAGCAAAUGCAAGGUUCAGAGAGAGAAAAGAAACUGGUGUGUUUUGAGGAUGGAAAGAAGUCCAGUGGUGAAAAAGCAGAGGGUGGAGGGAGAAGUUUCACAGAAACGUGCACCUCCAUUUCCUUUCUUCUUGAGCAACUGGUCAGGAGCGACCGAGCCUGGGUCCUUGAGGAGACCCCGCCAUCUGGUCCCCCAGCUCUCUCCUCUUCUCCUUUCAGGUGCACUCGGGUCUGGGUGGGGAGGGGGACGGAU
Manis javanica (Malayan pangolin) is the source of this 993-nucleotide long non-coding RNA. RefSeq lists it as uncharacterized. The record is from RefSeq and is a predicted model, not a curated record. Lineage: Eukaryota; Metazoa; Chordata; Mammalia; Pholidota; Manidae.